GUUGCUUCUUUGAUUGGUCUGUAAG
This 25-nucleotide non-coding RNA is filed under the name Mus musculus (house mouse). Lineage: Eukaryota; Metazoa; Chordata; Mammalia; Rodentia; Muridae. The record is from RNAcentral.